This 69-nucleotide transfer RNA is filed under the name Parapercis cylindrica (cylindrical sandperch). Its description in RNAcentral is "tRNA-Cys". It matches the Rfam family "tRNA". From Rfam's summary of the family: Transfer RNA (tRNA) molecules are approximately 80 nucleotides in length. Lineage: Eukaryota; Metazoa; Chordata; Actinopteri; Uranoscopiformes; Pinguipedidae. The record is from RNAcentral.
AGUUCCGAGGUGUUGUAGACAUAUCAAAUUGCAAAUUUGAAGAAGCAGGUUAAUACCCUGUCGGGGCUU